GACACAUGUUAUGCAAUAUGUAUGUAUGUGUGUGUGUGUGUGUGUGUGUAUAUAUAUAUAUAUACACACACACACAUAUACACACACAUACAUACAUAUAUA
This 102-nucleotide microRNA precursor is filed under the name Chlorocebus sabaeus (green monkey). Its description in RNAcentral is "miRNA (ENSCSAG00000025372.1)". Lineage: Eukaryota; Metazoa; Chordata; Mammalia; Primates; Cercopithecidae. The record is from RNAcentral.